This 774-nucleotide ribosomal RNA is filed under the name uncultured Neocallimastigales. RNAcentral describes it as "partial large subunit ribosomal RNA". It matches the Rfam family "Eukaryotic large subunit ribosomal RNA", at positions 22 to 639 of the family's 3401-position model. The record is from RNAcentral. Lineage: Eukaryota; Fungi; Neocallimastigomycota; Neocallimastigomycetes; Neocallimastigales.
GUACACGCUGUGACUAGCAUAUCAAUAAGCGGAGGAAAAGAAACUAACAAGGAUUCCCCUAGUAACGGCGAGUGAAGCGGGAAGAGCUCAAAUUUGAAAUCUUAAAGGGUUUCCCUUUACGAAUUGUAGUUUAAAGAAGUGUUUUCUGUUGAGGUUUUGGUAAAAGUUCUUUGGAAUAGGACAUCAUAGAGGGUGAGAAUCCCGUAUUUGACCUUUACUUUCAACUUUGUGAUACACUUUCAAAGAGUCGGAUUGUUUGGGAAUGCAGUCCAAAAUGGGUGGUAAAUGUCAUCUAAAGCUAAAUAUUGGCGAGAGACCGAUAGCGAACAAGUACCGUGAGGGAAAGAUGAAAAGAACUUUGAAAAGAGAGUUAAACAGUACGUGAAAUUGUCAAAAGGGAAGCGUUUGACACCAGUGUUGUUUUUCUGAAAAUCAAUUAAAGAACUGUUUAUGCUAAGUUGUUUAGACUUUAUCAGCUAACUGUUUAGUUUUGAGCUUUUCUUUAAUGCACUUUUCAGUUAACAAGUCAACAUCAAUUUCUUUUGCUGUAAAAAAGCUUGAGGAAGGUGGCUUGAGAUUCGUCUUAAGUGUUUAUAGCCUCUUGCCUAUGCAGUCGGAGAGAUUGAGGUCUGCAGCGUAGAUCCUUCGGGGCUAAAUGCAUUUGUGCUAAGUUAUAGCAUUUUAUAGACAACUUGUUGACUAUGAUUUGUCUUGUAGCUUACUCGCUUAUGUUAUUUUACCUACGCUUAGGAUGUUGACGCGCGUGUGUGCGUG